ACAAAAAAUCUGUUCAAUCCCUGCACAUCUUUCAAAAAAAGUACCCGAAAACAAGUGUCUUUUUCUCUCAGAUGCGAGUAGCCUCAUCGAUCGUCUUCUCUGCAAAAUGCAUCCUCCGUUCUCUUCUUCGCCGCCGCCCCAAUUACCCAACGACUCUACCUCCGACAGCAGUGUCUCCGCCGAGCGCCGUCUUCGUGAGGCGGAGGAUCGCUUAAGAGAGGCAAUUGAAGAGCUUCAACGCCGCCAACGUCGUGCCUGGGGUAUCUACCCGCCUUGUGACCAUGCCGAUGAAUCAUGUGUUGCUAACGCAAUCGGUAACCUUUGCCAAACUUUUCUUCUCUCUUACGGUGUCCGCGUAGGAAUCGGAAUUCUCCUCCGCGCUUUUAAGCUCGCUCGCCGCCAGUCUUAUUCCUCUCUACUUGAUCUCAAGCAACUUGUCUCCGAAAAGGAUCUAAUUGUAAGAGAGGAAGCAUGUCGAAUUGGUUUGCUCUUUGGGGGAUUUACUGGUUCCUAUCAUGCUCUAAGAUGCUUGCUAAGAAAGCUGAGAAGGAAAGAGACACCCUUAAAUGCAAUUUUAGCAGGUUCAGUGGCAGGUCUGUCUAUUUUAGCAUUAGAUGAUUCCAACAGGCGGCGGACUCUUGCCUUGUAUCUUCUGGCAAGGCUAUCUCAGUGUGCGUAUAAUUCUGCCAAAUCCAAGAACCGGUUUCAUCUCUGGGGAAGUCACUGGAGUCAUGGGGAUUCUUUACUCUUUGCAUUGUCAUGUGCCCAGGUUAUGUAUUCCUUCAUAAUGCGUCCUGAGAGCCUUCCAAAAGCAUAUAGAGAUUUCAUUCAGAAGACUGGGCCAGUUGCAGCACCAGUCUACAAAGCUGUUAAGGAUAGCUGUAGAGGCUCUCCAGUUGAUGUUGCUUCAUUACAUGCCUAUUUGUCCAAAACAAAGGGUUCUGCUACUAUGAAGUUGGAAGAAUUUCCUGCUAUUAUUCCAUGCUCUGUAAUUCACCCUGGGACCAAAUCUUGCUUAGUUCGUGAUGCUAAUGCAGCGGCUGCUACUUUCCGGAAAACAUUUCCUCUUUACUUCUCCUUGACUUUUGUUCCCUUUGUCGUUCUACGCUUGCAGAAGGACCGCUGUACGGGACAGACGAUUGGCGCAGGACAUGAAUCACAAGGCCUUUACCAUCUCACCUCUUCAAAUUUCUUCACAGCAUGCUCCGUUACAGACCCUCCAAACCUAAUUCACAAACGUUUGGGACAUCCGAGUCUAUCCAAGCUACAUAAGAUGGUGCCUAGUUUGUCUAGUUUAUCCACAUUAGAUUGCGAAUCAUGUCAACUUGGGAAACACACCCAUGCUACUUUCCCACGUAGUAUUGAGAGUCGUUCAGAGUCUAUUUUCUCAUUAGUACAUUCUGAUGUUUGGGGUCCUAGUGGAGUCGGUUCUCCUUUAGGUUUCCGUUAUUUUGUUAGUUUCAUUGAUGAUUUUUCAAGAUGUACUUGGUUUUCUUAAUAAAAGAUCGUUCUGAGAUAUUUUCUAUAUUCAAAAGUUUUUGUGCUGAAAUACAAACUCAAUUUGGUGUUUCUAUUCGUACUUUUCGUAGUGACAAUGCCUUAGAAUACUUAUCCUCUCAGUUUUAGGAGUUUAUGACUCGUCAAGGAAUUGUUCACCAGACAUCUUGUCCGUACACCCCUCAGCAGAAUGGUAUAGCAGAAAGAAAAAUAGGCAUCUUCUUGAGACUGCUCGCACUCUUCUCAUUGAAUCCUAUGUUCUGCUGCAAUUUUGGGGCGAUGCAGUCCUCACGUUUUGUUAUCUAAUUAUUAGAAUGCCAUCAUCUUCCCUUCAGAAUAAGGUUCCCCAUUCUAUGUUGUUCCACAGUCACAUCUCUACUCUAUCCCCCCUCGUGUCUUUGGGAGCACAUGCUUUGUUCAUAACUUAGCCCCUGGAAAAGAUAAAUUAGCCCCUCGUUCUCUCAAGUGUGUCUUCCUUGGUUACUCUCGAGUUCAAAAAGGGUAUCGUUGUUAUUCACCAGAUCUUCGUCUCUACUUUAUGUCCGCCGAUGUCAUUUUUUUUGAAUCUCGACCUUACUAUAUACUUCUGAUCUUACUGAUAUCUCUGAGAUUUUACCCGUAUCUCCAGUCUUACCUGCACCAUCCUUGGUCUUACCCAUAUCUCCAAACUUACCCGAACCAACCUUUAAGGAAUCAACGGUUACUUAUACGUCUCCUGCUACAGUGCCACCACUUCUGACUUAUCAUCGUCGUCCGUGUCCACCAUUAGUCCCAGAUGAUUCAUGUCAUGCGUCGGACGCUGCUCCUACCGCGUACUUGCCUUCUUCUAGCCAAUCAGUUGCACUUCAAAAAGUUUAUGGAUGCUCCUACACGCACCUGUUGGUAUGCUCUUACAGGGUCUGUUCGCUCGACAACCUUCUUGUCCGCUUUUGUUGGAAUCUUUCAG
RNA transcript from Capsicum annuum, 2443 nucleotides. RefSeq lists it as uncharacterized. NCBI's taxonomy places the organism in Eukaryota, Viridiplantae, Streptophyta, Magnoliopsida, Solanales, Solanaceae. The transcript is spliced from 7 exons. The record is from RefSeq and is a predicted model, not a curated record.